Molecule: ribosomal RNA, 253 nt
Filed under: uncultured bacterium
Lineage: Bacteria
Description: partial 16S ribosomal RNA
Rfam family: Bacterial small subunit ribosomal RNA
Source: RNAcentral
UACGGGGGGAGCAAGCGUUGUUCGGAAUUACUGGGCGUAAAGGGCUCGUAGGUGGUCAACUAAGUCAUACGUGAAAUCCCUCGGCUUAACCGGGGAACUGCGCCUGAUACUGGUUGACUUGAGUUUGGGAGAGGGACGCGGAAUUCCAGGUGUAGCGGUGAAAUGCGUAGAUAUCUGGAGGAACACCGGUGGCGAAGGCGGCGUCCUGGACCAAUACUGACGCUCAUGCACGAAAGCGUGGGGAGCAAACAGG